GUGGGUAGCGGUGAAAUUCCAAUCGAGCCCGGAGAUAGCUGGUUCUCCCCGAAAUAGCUUUAGGGCUAGCCUCAAGGUGAGAGAUACGGAGGUAGAGCACUGAAUGUCCUAGGGGGUAUUGCACCUACCGAAGACUAUCAAACUCCGAAUGCCGUCAUCUUAUACUUGGGAGUCAGACUGUGGGUGAUAAGAUUCAUAGUCGAAAGGGCAACAGCCCAGAUCGUCAGCUAAGGUCCCUAAAUGUAAGUUAAGUGGUAAAGGAUGUGGGAUUGCACAGACAACCAGGAUGUUGGCUUAGAAGCAGCCACUCAUUCAAAGAGUGCGUAAUAGCUCACUGGUCGAGUGAUCCUGCGCCGAAGAUUUCCGGGGCUAAAACUUACUACCGAAGCUACGGCAUCAGUAAUGAUGGGUAGGGGAGCUUCCCAUACGGGUUGAAGCAUGACCGUAAGGACAUGUGGACAGUAUGGGAGUGAGAAUGUUGGCAUGAGUAGCGAGAUGUGGGUGAGAAUCCCACAGGCCGUAAACCCAAGGUUUCCAGGGGAAGGUUCGUCCGCCCUGGGUUAGUCGGGACCUAAGCUGAGGCCGAAAGGCGUAGGUGAUGGACAACAGGUUGAUAUUCCUGUACUACCGAUAACCGUUUGAGAGAGGGGAUGACACAGUAGGAUAAGCUAAGCACACUGUUGGUUAUGUGUGCCCAAGCAUUGAGGCAGUCAAAGUAGGCAAAUCCGCUUUGAUAAUGCUGGGAUGUGAUGGGGAGCGAAAUUUAGUAGCGAAGUAGCUGAUUUCACACUGUCAAGAAAAGUCUCUAUCGAGGUUAAAGGUACCCGUACCGCAAACCGACACAGGUGGGUGAGGAGAGUAUCCUAAGGCCAGCGAGAGAACUGUUGUUAAGGAACUCGGCAAAAUGACCCCGUAACUUAGGGAUAAGGGGUGCCACCAUCAGGUGGCCGCAGAGAAUAGGCCCAAGCGACUGUUUACCAAAAACAUAGGUUUCUGCUAAGUCGCAAGACGAUGUAUAGG
This 1020-nucleotide ribosomal RNA is filed under the name Clostridioides difficile. Its description in RNAcentral is "bacterial LSU rRNA". It matches the Rfam family "Bacterial large subunit ribosomal RNA", at positions 811 to 1849 of the family's 2925-position model. The record is from RNAcentral. Lineage: Bacteria; Bacillati; Bacillota; Clostridia; Peptostreptococcales; Peptostreptococcaceae.